CAGCAGCCGCGGGAAUACGAAGGGGGCUAGCGUUGUUCGGAAUUACUGGGCGUAAAGCGCACGUAGGCGGAUCGAUCAGUCAGGGGUGAAAUCCCAGGGCUCAACCCUGGAACUGCCUUUGAUACUGUCGAUCUGGAGUAUGGAAGAGGUGAGUGGAAUUCCGAGUGUAGAGGUGAAAUUCGUAGAUAUUCGGAGGAACACCAGUGGCGAAGGCGGCUCACUGGUCCAUUACUGACGCUGAGGUGCGAAAGCGUGGGGAGCAAACAGGAUUAGAUACCCCAGUAGUCCCUGUCUCUUAUAC
This 301-nucleotide ribosomal RNA is filed under the name uncultured bacterium. Its description in RNAcentral is "partial 16S ribosomal RNA". It matches the Rfam family "Bacterial small subunit ribosomal RNA", at positions 509 to 807 of the family's 1533-position model. The record is from RNAcentral.